RNAcentral lists this transfer RNA (72 nucleotides) under Didelphis albiventris (white-eared opossum). RNAcentral's name for it is "tRNA-Trp". It matches the Rfam family "tRNA". From Rfam's summary of the family: Transfer RNA (tRNA) molecules are approximately 80 nucleotides in length. Their secondary structure includes four short double-helical elements and three loops (D, anti-codon, and T loops). Further hydrogen bonds mediate the characteristic L-shaped molecular structure. tRNAs have two regions of fundamental functional importance: the anti-codon, which is responsible for specific mRNA codon recognition, and the 3' end, to which the tRNAs corresponding amino acid is attached (by aminoacyl-tRNA synthetases). tRNAs cope with the degeneracy of the genetic code in two manners: having more than one tRNA (with a specific anti-codon) for a particular amino acid; and 'wobble' base-pairing, i.e. permitting non-standard base-pairing at the 3rd anti-codon position. Lineage: Eukaryota; Metazoa; Chordata; Mammalia; Didelphimorphia; Didelphidae. The record is from RNAcentral.
AAAGGCUUAGGAUUAAUUUUUAGACCAAAGGCCUUCAAAGCCUUAAGCAGGUGUUGAAUCAUCUAGCCUUUG